GACGAACGCUGGCGGCGUGCUUAACACAUGCAAGUCGAACGGAAAGGCCCUGCUUUUGUUGGGUACUCGAGUGGCGAACGGGUGAGUAACACGUGAGUAACCUGCCCUGGACUUUGGGAUAACUUCGGGAAACUGGGGCUAAUACCGGAUAGGAGCUCCUGCUGCAUGGUGGGGUUGGAAAAGUUUCGGCGGUGGGUGAGGGAGUGGCGGCUUAUCAGCUUGUUGGGGGGGUAGUGGCUUACCAAGGCUUUGACGGGUAGCCGGCCGGGGGGGGUGACCGGCCACAUUGGGACUGAGAUCGGGCCAAGCCUCCUACGGGGGGAAGAAGUGGGAAAUAUUGACCAAGGGGGCGAAGCCGAAUGAAGGACCGCCGCGUGCGGGAUGCCGGCUUUCGGGUUGUAACCCGCUUUCGCCUGUGAGGAAGCGUGAGUGACGGUAAUGGGUAAAGAAGCACCGGCUAACUACGUG
This 468-nucleotide ribosomal RNA is filed under the name uncultured bacterium. RNAcentral's name for it is "partial 16S ribosomal RNA". It matches the Rfam family "Bacterial small subunit ribosomal RNA", at positions 28 to 507 of the family's 1533-position model. The record is from RNAcentral.